CCUACGUGGGGCAGCAGUGGGGAAUAUUGCGCAAUGGGCGAAAGCCUGACGCAGCGACGCCGCGUGUGGGAUGAAGGUCUUCGGAUUGUAAACCACUGUCGGGAGGGACGAAGCUCUGACGGUACCUCCAAAGGAAGCACCGGCUAACUCUGUGCCAGCAGCCGCGGUAAUACAGAGGGUGCGAGCGUUGUCCGGAAUCACUGGGCGUAAAGGGCGCGUAGGCGGCUUGAUAAGUAGGGGGUGAAAUCUCAUGGCUCAACUGUGAGGCUGCCUUCUAGACUGUCUGGCUUGAGCACAGUAGAGGCGAGUGGAAUUCCCGGUGUAGCGGUGGAAUGCGUAGAGAUCGGGAAGAACAUCGGUGGCGAAGGCGGCUCGCUGGGCUGUUGCUGACGCUGAUGCGCGAAAGCGUGGGGAGCAAACAGGAUUAGAUACCCUUGUAGUC
RNAcentral lists this ribosomal RNA (442 nucleotides) under uncultured bacterium. RNAcentral describes it as "partial 16S ribosomal RNA". It matches the Rfam family "Bacterial small subunit ribosomal RNA", at positions 338 to 795 of the family's 1533-position model. The record is from RNAcentral.